GACGAACGCUGGCGGCGUGCCUAAUACAUGCAAGUAGAACGCUGAAGGAGGAGCUUGCUUCUCUGGAUGAGUUGCGAACGGGUGAGUAACGCGUAGGUAACCUGCCUGGCAGCGGGGGAUAACUAUUGGAAACGAUAGCUAAUACCGCAUAAUAUUGACUAUUGCAUGAUAGUCAGUUGAAAGGUGCAACUGCACCACUACCAGAUGGACCUGCGUUGUAUUAGCUAGUUGGGGGGGUAACGGCUCACCAAGGCGACGAUACAUAGCCGACCUGAGAGGGUGAUCGGCCACACUGGGACUGAGACAAGGCCCAGACUCCUACGGGAGGCAGCAGUAGGGAAUCUUCGGCAAUGGACGGAAGGCUGACCGCACAACGCCGCGUGAGUGAAGAAGGGUUUCGGAUCGUAAAGCUCUGUUGUAAGAGAAGAACGAGUGUGAGAGUGGAAAGCUCACACUGUGACGGUAUCUUACCAGAAAGGGACGGCUAACUACGUG
This 495-nucleotide ribosomal RNA is filed under the name uncultured bacterium. Its description in RNAcentral is "partial 16S ribosomal RNA". It matches the Rfam family "Bacterial small subunit ribosomal RNA", at positions 28 to 507 of the family's 1533-position model. The record is from RNAcentral.